This 21-nucleotide microRNA is filed under the name Ciona intestinalis (vase tunicate). Its description in RNAcentral is "cin-miR-1473-5p". Lineage: Eukaryota; Metazoa; Chordata; Ascidiacea; Phlebobranchia; Cionidae. The record is from miRBase by way of RNAcentral.
ACCCACGUAUUCGAUCUUGCG